Nelumbo nucifera (sacred lotus) is the source of this 977-nucleotide non-coding RNA. The record is from RefSeq and is a predicted model, not a curated record. Lineage: Eukaryota; Viridiplantae; Streptophyta; Magnoliopsida; Proteales; Nelumbonaceae.
UUUUCCGAGUGGAGGGUAAAUAGAUAAAAAGGAAAAUCUCAAAACAGUGUCUCUUCGACUUCUUUCCCGGAUCUCAACCCUGCGUUUCUCCUCUCACCUCUCGGCUCUGCAUUUCUCCUCCUCUUCGGCUCGUAUUCUCUUCACCGACGCCCAACAUCUUCCUCUCUUCACGGAAAGAGAGAAGGCGAAGGACGCAAUAAUUCUUUUAGAUCCGUGGCACUUUUUCUCCGGAGAAGCAAGGCACCAACAAACUAUCAAGGGUUAGAUUUCCAUACACGUGCACUACAACAAAGUAAAGUCCAUCUUUCUUGGAAUGAGGAUGAGCCUCAGCGUUUGAACACCUUAAGAUGGAAAUUAAAUGAUGAUCAGCCCCACAUGAGGUUUGCAGAUAAGUGAUUGUCUGGUUCUGAUAAGUUAGGAGCAAGGAAUCUCCAUAUUUAUAAAAGCUUGUGGCAGAGAGAAGCUCAGACCAUAAAAAAUGGGGGUUAACAGAGCCUGUGCUAUUGGAUGAGGGUGGUUCAGUCGAGGCAGUUCUUGGAAAGAAUCCUGAGGUCCAUUAUAUUUAUGUUUGUACCAAGGAUAAGCGCACAACCGGGAUUGGAGCAUGAUAGCGACUGUUGAUAGAAGAAAGUGAAGAAUGCGUUUGUGAGUUGGUGUUGAGAUUUUUAUCCUCCAUACUUGGGUAUUCCAAGAGUGUGCUAUUUGUUUGUUUGUUUUUUUUUUUUUUAUAGAUAGAGUGUGUUGUUGUUAGAACUUGAAACAUUUGAUACAAAUGUAUUAUUAUUACCUUACCGUACUCUUGAAUUUGUAUUUCAACUUACCGGAAAAACCGGGAACCACAAAUCUUCACUUCUUUCAUUACAGGAAGUAGCAGAUAAACUUAUGCUUCAAGUGUUUCGGGUCCUCACAUUAUUUUUUUCUUCAUUUGUUGUAUAUGCCCAUUUGUGAAUUUCAUAACUGUGAUUUUGAAGGUCAAA